GGGCCUGUAGUUCAGCUGGCUAGAACACCUCAUUUGCAAUGAGGAGGUCGGCGGUUCGAUCCCGCCCAGGUCCACCA
This 77-nucleotide transfer RNA is filed under the name Candidatus Woykebacteria bacterium RBG_16_43_9. Its description in RNAcentral is "tRNA-Ala". It matches the Rfam family "tRNA". Rfam says of the family: Transfer RNA (tRNA) molecules are approximately 80 nucleotides in length. Their secondary structure includes four short double-helical elements and three loops (D, anti-codon, and T loops). Lineage: Bacteria; Candidatus Woykeibacteriota. The record is from RNAcentral.